This 253-nucleotide ribosomal RNA is filed under the name uncultured bacterium. Its description in RNAcentral is "partial 16S ribosomal RNA". It matches the Rfam family "Bacterial small subunit ribosomal RNA", at positions 524 to 776 of the family's 1533-position model. The record is from RNAcentral.
UACGUAGGGUGCGAGCGUUGUCCGGAAUUACUGGGCGUAAAGAGCUCGUAGGUGGUUUGUCGCGUUGUCCGUGAAAACUCACAGCUUAACUGUGGGCGUGCGGGCGAUACGGGCAGACUGGAGUACUGCAGGGGAGACUGGAAUUCCUGGUGUAGCGGUGGAAUGCGCAGAUAUCAGGAGGAACACCGGUGGCGAAGGCGGGUCGCUGGGCAGUAACUGACGCUGAGGAGCGAAAGCGUGGGGAGCGAACAGG